Molecule: ribosomal RNA, 1826 nt
Filed under: Salmonella enterica subsp. enterica serovar Braenderup
Lineage: Bacteria; Pseudomonadati; Pseudomonadota; Gammaproteobacteria; Enterobacterales; Enterobacteriaceae
Description: partial 23S ribosomal RNA
Rfam family: Bacterial large subunit ribosomal RNA
Source: RNAcentral
GGGUUGUGAGGUUAAGCGACUAAGCGUACACGGUGGAUGCCCUGGCAGUCAGAGGCGAUGAAGGGCGUGCUAAUCUGCGAUAAGCGCCGGUAAGGUGAUAUGAACCGUUAUAACCGGCGAUACCCGAAUGGGGAAACCCAGUGUGAUUCGUCACACUAUCAUUAACUGAAUCCAUAGGUUAAUGAGGCGAACCGGGGGAACUGAAACAUCUAAGUACCCCGAGGAAAAGAAAUCAACCGAGAUUCCCCCAGUAGCGGCGAGCGAACGGGGAGGAGCCCAGAGCCUGAAUCAGCAUGUGUGUUAGUGGAAGCGUCUGGAAAGGCGCGCGAUACAGGGUGACAGCCCCGUACACAAAAGCGCAUGUGCUGUGAGCUCGAUGAGUAGGGCGGGACACGUGGUAUCCUGUCUGAAUAUGGGGGGACCAUCCUCCAAGGCUAAAUACUCCUGACUGACCGAUAGUGAACCAGUACCGUGAGGGAAAGGCGAAAAGAACCCCGGCGAGGGGAGUGAAAAAGAACCUGAAACCGUGUACGUACAAGCAGUGGGAGCCCCACCACUAAGCCAGUGGUGAACUCCACAUACGCAUCCUUUGCUGAGGAUACGGUUAACGGAGCGAAAGCGACGUUCAACCUCAAAAGAAGCAGAGGGGGCUUAGUGGUGGGGUGACUGCGUACCUUUUGUAUAAUGGGUCAGCGACUUAUAUUCUGUAGCAAGGUUAACCGAAUAGGGGAGCCGGAGGGAAACCGAGUCUUAAUUGGGCGUUAAGUUGCAGGGUAUAGACCCGAAACCCGGUGAUCUAGCCAUGGGCAGGUUGAAGGUUGGGUAACACUAACUGGAGGACCGAACCGACUAAUGUUGAAAAAUUAGCGGAUGACCUGUGGCUGGGGGUGAAAGGCCAAUCAAACCGGGAGAUAGCUGGUUCUCCCCGAAAGCUAUUUAGGUAGCGCCUCGUGAAUUCAUCUCCGGGGGUAGAGCACUGUUUCGGCUAGGGGGCCAUCCCGGCUUACCAACCCGAUGCAAACUGCGAAUACCGGAGAAUGUUAUCACGGGAGACACACGGCGGGUGCUAACGUCCGUCGUGAAGAGGGAAACAACCCAGACCGCCAGCUAAGGUCCCAAAGUCAUGGUUAAGUGGGAAACGAUGUGGGAAGGCCCAGACAGCCAGGAUGUUGGCUUAGAAGCAGCCAUCAUUUAAAGAAAGCGUAAUAGCUCACUGGUCGAGUCGGCCUGCGCGGAAGAUGUAACGGGGCUAAACCAUGCACCGAAGCUGCGGCAGCGACGCUUAUGCGUUGUUGGGUAGGGGAGCGUUCUGUAAGCCUGCGAAGGUGGCCUGUGAGGGUUGCUGGAGGUAUCAGAAGUGCGAAUGCUGACAUAAGUAACGAUAAAGCGGGUGAAAAGCCCGCUCGCCGGAAGACCAAGGGUUCCUGUCCAACGUUAAUCGGGGCAGGGUGAGUCGACCCCUAAGGCGAGGCCGAAAGGCGUAGUCGAUGGGAAACGGGUUAAUAUUCCCGUACUUGGUGUUACUGCGAAGGGGGGACGGAGAAGGCUAUGUUGGCCGGGCGACGGUUGUCCCGGUUUAAGCGUGUAGGUGUGUGUUCCAGGUAAAUCCGGUUCACUUUAACACUGAGGCGUGACGACGAGGCACUACGGUGCUGAAGCAACAAAUGCCCUGCUUCCAGGAAAAGCCUCUAAGCAUCAGGUAACAUCAAAUCGUACCCCAAACCGACACAGGUGGUCAGGUAGAGAAUACCAAGGCGCUUGAGAGAACUCGGGUGAAGGAACUAGGCAAAAUGGUGCCGUAACUUCGGGAGAAGGCACGCUGACAC